GAUGAACGCUGGCGGCGUGCCUAAUACAUGCAAGUCGAGCGAACAGACGAGGAGCUUGCUCCUCUGACGUUAGCGGCGGACGGGUGAGUAACACGUGGAUAACCUACCUAUAAGACUGGGAUAACUUCGGGAAACCGGAGCUAAUACCGGAUAAUAUAUUGAACCGCAUGGUUCAAUAGUGAAAGACGGUUUUGCUGUCACUUAUAGAUGGAUCCGCGCCGCAUUAGCUAGUUGGUAAGGUAACGGCUUACCAAGGCAACGAUGCGUAGCCGACCUGAGAGGGUGAUAGGCCACACGGGAACUGAGACACGGUCCAGACUCCUAAGGGAGGCAGCAGUAGGGAAUCUUCCGCAAUGGGCGAAAGCCUGACGGAGCAACGCCGCGUGAGUGAUGAAGGUCUUCGGAGAGUAAAACUCUGUUAUUAGGGAAGAACAAAUGUGUAAGUAAAUAUGCACGUCUUGACGGUACCUAAUCAGAAAGCCACGGCUAACUACGUG
This 497-nucleotide ribosomal RNA is filed under the name uncultured bacterium. RNAcentral's name for it is "partial 16S ribosomal RNA". It matches the Rfam family "Bacterial small subunit ribosomal RNA", at positions 28 to 507 of the family's 1533-position model. The record is from RNAcentral.